This is an RNA transcript of Mus musculus (house mouse), 5048 nucleotides long. It is a transcript of the gene named adaptor-related protein complex 3, delta 1 subunit, with no coding region annotated. NCBI's taxonomy places the organism in Eukaryota, Metazoa, Chordata, Mammalia, Rodentia, Muridae. The record is from RefSeq and is marked validated. The transcript is spliced from 32 exons.
UUUCGGUGAGGCGGGGCUUCCGGGAGGCUGAGGCUCUCCGUCAGCUGACCCACCGCCAUCUUGGCCGCCAUUUGCAGCGGCCCUAAGCUGGGAAGGGUCUGUGGAAGCUGGGGGGGGCGGGCUUACUGGCUACCCCUUCUCCUCAGACUGCUCUCCGGCUACAGCCGUCGCUCUGGCCUCCACGGCGUCCCCUCCGCGGCGGCCGGAAACACAGCGGGGCGGUUGCCUGAGGUGCGGUCGCCGGGUCCCCGCACCUUCUAGGGCCGCGGCAGCGGCGUUUCCCUCGGAGGCCGCAGCCCACGGGCCGCCGCGAUGGCCCUCAAGAUGGUCAAGGGCAGUAUCGACCGCAUGUUCGAUAAGAACCUGCAGGAUCUGGUCCGCGGCAUCCGCAACCACAAGGAGGACGAGGCCAAGUACAUCUCCCAGUGCAUUGACGAGAUCAAGCAGGAGCUGAAGCAGGACAACAUCGCUGUGAAGGCCAACGCUGUCUGCAAGCUCACCUACUUACAGAUGCUUGGGUACGACAUCAGCUGGGCUGCCUUCAACAUCAUUGAAGUCAUGAGUGCCUCCAAGUUCACAUUCAAGCGUGUUGGCUACCUUGCGGCCUCCCAGUGCUUCCAUGAAGGUACCGACGUCAUCAUGCUGACCACCAACCAGAUCCGAAAGGACCUGAGCAGCCCCAGCCAGUACGACACUGGAGUGGCACUGACUGGUCUGUCCUGUUUUGUCACCCCAGAUCUUGCCAGAGACCUGGCAAAUGACAUCAUGACCCUGAUGUCUCACACGAAGCCGUACAUCAGGAAGAAGGCAGUGCUGAUCAUGUACAAAGUAUUCCUCAAGUACCCAGAGUCGCUGCGUCCUGCCUUUCCCCGGCUUAAGGAGAAGCUGGAGGACCCAGACCCAGGGGUACAGUCUGCGGCUGUUAAUGUCAUCUGCGAGCUGGCACGCCGCAACCCUAAAAACUACCUGUCUCUGGCGCCACUGUUUUUCAAGCUCAUGACAUCCUCCACCAACAACUGGGUCCUCAUCAAGAUCAUCAAGCUGUUCGGUGCCCUGACUCCUCUGGAGCCCAGGCUGGGCAAGAAGCUGAUCGAGCCUCUCACCAACCUCAUUCACAGCACCUCUGCCAUGUCCCUGCUGUACGAGUGUGUGAACACCGUAAUUGCUGUGCUCAUCUCACUGUCUUCUGGGAUGCCCAACCACAGCGCCAGCAUCCAGCUAUGCGUUCAGAAGUUGAGGAUACUGAUAGAAGACUCCGACCAGAACUUAAAGUACCUGGGGCUGCUGGCCAUGUCUAAAAUCCUGAAGACACACCCCAAGUCUGUGCAGUCCCACAAGGACCUGAUCCUGCAGUGCCUGGAUGACAAGGACGAGUCCAUCCGCCUGCGUGCACUUGACCUGCUCUAUGGAAUGGUGUCCAAGAAGAACCUGAUGGAGAUUGUGAAGAAGCUCAUGACUCACGUGGACAAGGCUGAGGGCACCACCUAUCGCGAUGAACUGCUCACCAAGAUCAUUGACAUCUGUAGCCAGUCCAACUACCAGCACAUCACCAACUUCGAGUGGUACAUCAGCAUCCUUGUGGAGCUGACAAGGCUGGAGGGCACCCGCCAUGGCCACCUCAUUGCUGCACAGAUGCUGGACGUGGCUAUCCGGGUCAAGGCCAUUCGCAAAUUUGCUGUGUCGCAGAUGUCCUCACUGCUUGACAGUGCUCACCUGGUAGCCAGCAGCACCCAACGCAAUGGUAUCUGUGAGGUGCUCUAUGCUGCUGCCUGGAUCUGCGGGGAGUUCUCAGAGCACCUACAGGGGCCCCAGCAAACCCUGGAGGCCAUGCUGCGGCCCAAGGUCACCACACUGCCCGGCCAUAUCCAGGCUGUGUAUGUGCAGAACGUGGUAAAGCUGUACGCGUCCAUCCUGCAGCAGAAGGAGCAGGCCGCUGACACUGAGGCUGCACAAGAGGUCACCCAGCUACUGGUGGAGCGACUGCCACAGUUUGUGCAGAGCGCCGACCUGGAGGUGCAGGAGCGGGCGUCUUGCAUCCUGCAGCUGGUCAAGCAUGUCCAGAAGCUGCAAGCAAAAGGUGUGCCGGUGGCUGAGGAAGUGAGCGCCUUGUUUGCUGGUGAACUGAACCCUGUGGCCCCCAAGGCUCAGAAAAAGGUCCCAGUUCCUGAAGGCCUAGACCUGGAUGCCUGGAUCAAUGAGCCACCUUCAGACAGUGAGUCUGAGGAUGAGAAACCCAAGGCCAUCUUCCAUGAAGAAGAGCCGAGGCACACUCGGCGCCGGCAGCCUGAGGAGGAUGAAGAGGAGCUGGCUCGGCGGCGAGAGGCCCGGAAGCAGGAACAAGCCAACAACCCCUUCUACAUCAAGAGCUCCCCAUCCCCGCAGAAGCGAUACCAGGAUGCACCAGGUGUGGAACACAUUCCUGUGGUACAGAUCGACCUCUCAGUGCCUCUGAAAGUUCCAGGUAUGCCCAUGUCAGACCAGUAUGUGAAGCUGGAGGAGCAGCGGCGACACCGGCAGCGGCUGGAGAAGGACAAGAAAAGGAAGAAGAAGGAGAAGGGCAAGCGGCGCCACAGCUCUCUCCCCACGGAGAGCGAUGAGGACAUUGCCCCUGCCCAGCGUGUGGACAUUAUCACUGAGGAGAUGCCAGAGAAUGCUUUGCCUAGUGACGAGGAUGACAAAGACCCCAAUGACCCCUACAGGGCGCUGGACAUUGACCUGGAUAAACCCCUGGCUGACAGUGAGAAGCUGCCUGUCCAGAAACAUAGAAAUGCGGAGGCGGUGAAGUCCCCAGAGAAGGAGGGUGUGCUCGGGGUAGAGAAGAAGAGCAAGAAGCCCAAGAAGAAGGAGAAGAAGACCAAAGAGAGAGAGAGAGAGAAGAAGGACAAGAAGGGUGAGGACUUAGACUUCUGGCUGUCCACCACCCCACCACCUGCUGCUGCCCCCAUUCCUGCCCCGUCCACGGAAGAACUUGCUGCAAGCACUAUCACCUCCCCUAAGGAUGAGUGUGAGGUUCUCAAAGGGGAAGAGGAGGACCACGUGGAUCAUGACCAAGAAAGGAAAUCAUCCCGGCACAAGAAGAAGAAACACAGAAAGGAGAAGGAGAAGGAGGAGAGGCCACGAGACAAGAAGAAAGCUAAGAAGAAGCAGGUGGCACCUCUGGAGAAUGGUGCGGCAGCAGAGGAGGAGGAGGAGCCUAUCCCGCCCAUGUCCAGCUACUGCCUUCUGGCUGAGAGUCCCUACAUUAAAGUGCCCAGCCACAGCUGGAGAGCCAGUAUGACCAGGCCACCAGAGGACAGCUUUGCUAGCAAGACAGAGCGACCAGCUGGGCAGCAUACACCUUACACCUUGGGAAGAGGCAGGGGGAUUGCAAGAUCAAGGCCAACCAGUGCUGCACUACAAGACUUUGUCUCAAGGAGUCAAAAAGACAGGAACUGGGGUGCAGCUUCAUGAAGAACAUAUGACAUCCAAGCCAGCUUACAGAAGGACAGCCAAGUGACUGUGUCCAUCAUCCUGGAGAACCAGAGCAGCAGCUUCCUGAAGAACAUGGAGCUCAACGUGCUGGACUCUCUCAACACCAAGAUGACCAGGCCAGAGGGCUCAUCGGUACACGACGGUGUGCCCGUGCCUUUCCAACUGCCUCCCGGCGUCUCCAAUGAGGCCCAGUUUGUGUUCACCAUUCAGAGCAUCGUCAUGGCCCAGAAGCUCAAAGGCACACUGUCCUUCAUUGCCAAGGAUGAUGAAGGAGCCACCCAUGAGAAGUUGGACUUCCGGCUGCAUUUCAGCUGUAGCUCGUACCUGAUCACCACACCCUGCUACAGCGAUGCCUUUGCAAAGUUGCUAGAGUCAGGAGACCUGAGCAUGAACUCCAUCAAAGUCGAUGGCAUUAGUAUGUCUUUCCAGAAUCUUCUGGCAAAGAUCUGCUUCUACCACCAUUUUUCCGUUGUGGAGCGAGUAGACUCCUGUGCCUCCAUGUACAGCCGCUCUAUCCAGGGCCACCAUGUCUGCCUGCUGGUGAAGAAGGGCGAGAGCUCCGUGUCAGUAGAUGGGAAGUGCAGCGAUGCCACGUUGCUCAGCAGCCUGCUGGAGGAAAUGAAGACCACGUUGGCUCAGUGCUGAGUUGCAGUCCAGGAUGUGCAACAGACCACAGAAAGAUGUGAUGCGUCUUACCUCUCCUGUUGUGUGUACUGUCUCACACCCAGCAUUAAUUUAACACCACCGGCCUCCACUGUGUGACCCUGAGGUCCUAUGUUGCAUCAACUUCUUUUAUUAUCCUUUAUUCCGACCUGCACUCCUUUAGCAAGGAAGGCCAUCCUGACCCUAGCCAGAAAGGGGCUGCUCCACUUCCCAUUCUCAAAGGCGGCUGUGGACUGCAGGGUUACAGCAAACACACUGAUGUGGCCCCACUCCUGACCCCAUGCUGCCUCUGGAGGAACCCUUCCAGAUGCUGCUGUCCACAAAUAUUCCAACUGGUAGCCUCUAUGGAGAGGUGAUAAGGCCAGCUGUUAAUGCUUUUCCCCACAGCCUGCAAGGUCAGAUGGAUGAAGUGUCCUUGUGGGUGGCUCCGCAGCUCAGCUGCAGACAACAGGGAUGGCCCUUUGAUUUUCUUCUGUUCAACAGAACUGUGGUCUGUCUUGGGGUUCUGUUGUGGGGGUCAGUGGAAGAGUGCAAUGUAUGCCUCAGUUUGUCACUACACAUCAUGGGCUUGUCCCUGCAGCUGUGGAGGGCUUAGUGCCUUGCAGUGGAGAGUGUGCAUCCUGGGAGCAGUCAGUGCUUCCCCAGCUGUUCCUGGGUAAGGUGAAGAGACAUCUAACUGGGUAGCUGGGCACAAGCUGAGCCUUCCUCAGAGGUGACAGUGGUCUACAGACAUUCUGGCUUCCUUUGAGGACAACUGUCACUUUAGCAUGUAGAGUACUCUUACCGACCCCAUGUGACCUUCCAGCUCUAUGAUGUUCCAUGAUUGAUUUGCUGUUGACAUUCCCAUGUGAAGAGAGAUAUAUCACGCUGCUGACGAUCGGUGUCACAAUGACCCAUUAAAGAGUCAAAAAACA